GAACGGAUCCUUCGGGAUUAGUGGCGGACGGGUGAGUAACACGUGGGAACGUGCCCUUUGGUUCGGAACAACUCAGGGAAACUUGAGCUAAUACCGGAUGUGCCCUUCGGGGGAAAGAUUUAUCGCCAUUGGAGCGGCCCGCGUCUGAUUAGCUAGUUGGUGAGGUAAAGGCUCACCAAGGCGACGAUCAGUAGCUGGUCUGAGAGGAUGAUCAGCCACAUUGGGACUGAGACACGGCCCAAACUCCUACGGGAGGCAGCAGUGGGGAAUCUUGCGCAAUGGGCGAAAGCCUGACGCAGCCAUGCCGCGUGAAUGAUGAAGGUCUUAGGAUUGUAAAAUUCUUUCACCGGGGACGAUAAUGACGGUACCCGGAGAAGAAGCCCCGGCUAACUUCGUGCCAGCAGCCGCGGUAAUACGAAGGGGGCUAGCGUUGCUCGGAAUUACUGGGCGUAAAGGGAGCGUAGGCGGACUGUUAAGUUAGAGGUGAAAGCCCAGGGCUCAACCUUGGAAUUGCCUUUGAUACUGGCAGUCUUGAGUACGGAAGAGGUAUGUGGAACUCCGAGUGUAGAGGUGAAAUUCGUAGAUAUUCGGAAGAACACCAGUGGCGAAGGCGACA
RNAcentral lists this ribosomal RNA (616 nucleotides) under uncultured Alphaproteobacteria bacterium. RNAcentral describes it as "bacterial SSU rRNA". It matches the Rfam family "Bacterial small subunit ribosomal RNA", at positions 64 to 726 of the family's 1533-position model. The record is from RNAcentral. Lineage: Bacteria; Pseudomonadati; Pseudomonadota; Alphaproteobacteria.